This 237-nucleotide unclassified non-coding RNA is filed under the name plant metagenome. RNAcentral's name for it is "partial contains small subunit ribosomal RNA, internal transcribed spacer 1, and 5.8S ribosomal RNA". The record is from RNAcentral.
UUUCCGUAGGUGAACCUGCGGAAGGAUCAUUGACAUCUUUCUUUUACUUAUGAUAGGGUAAAACCUGUCAUAAACCACAGUGAAAUGUUAAAGUUACUUUUAAUGGUGGCUUUUAUUAACUCCAAACUUUGCCUCUUCUCUUUAAUAGGAGAUGGAGACAUUUUAUACAAUAUCAUAUAACUAUGAUACAACCCCCAACGAUGGAUAUCUCGGCUCCUGCAUCGAUGAAGAAGCAGC